ACGUAGGGCCCGAGCAUUAUCCGGAAUUACUGGGCGUAAAGCGCACGCAGGCGGUCGGAUGAGUCGGAUGUGAAAGCCCUGGGCUUAACCUGGGAACUGCAUUCGAUACUGUCUGGCUAGAGUAUGGGAGAGGGAAGCGGAAUUUCCGGUGUAGCGGUGAAAUGCGUAGAUAUCGGAAGGAACAUCAAUGGCGAAGACAGCUUCCUGGCCCAAUACUGACGCUCAGGUGCGAAAGCGUGGGGAUCAAACAG
RNAcentral lists this ribosomal RNA (251 nucleotides) under uncultured prokaryote. RNAcentral's name for it is "partial 16S ribosomal RNA". It matches the Rfam family "Bacterial small subunit ribosomal RNA", at positions 525 to 775 of the family's 1533-position model. The record is from RNAcentral.